Molecule: ribosomal RNA, 506 nt
Filed under: uncultured bacterium
Lineage: Bacteria
Description: partial 16S ribosomal RNA
Rfam family: Bacterial small subunit ribosomal RNA
Source: RNAcentral
AGUGAACGCUGGCGGUAGGCCUAACACAUGCAAGUCGAACGGCAGCACAGGAGAGCUUGCUCUCUGGGUGGCGAGUGGCGGACGGGUGAGGAAUACAUCGGAAUCUACUCUGUCGUGGGGGAUAACGUAGGGAAACUUACGCUAAUACCGCAUACGACCUACGGGUGAAAGCAGGGGAUCUUCGGACCUUGCGCGAUUGAAUGAGCCGAUGUCGGAUUAGCUAGUUGGCGGGGUAAAGGCCCACCAAGGCGACGAUCCGUAGCUGGUCUGAGAGGAUGAUCAGCCACACUGGAACUGAGACACGGUCCAGACUCCUACGGGAGGCAGCAGUGGGGAAUAUUGGACAAUGGGCGCAAGCCUGAUCCAGCCAUACCGCGUGGGUGAAGAAGGCCUUCGGGUUGUAAAGCCCUUUUGUUGGGAAAGAAAUCCAGCUGGUUAAUACCCGGUUGGGAUGACGGUACCCAAAGAAUAAGCACCGGCUAACUUCGUGCCAGCAGCCGCCGCCG